AUGAAUUUGGCCAGCCUCAUCAGGAAAGGCAUCAAACAGAUCUUGUCUGUAUCUACUUGCUGCAAAGCACUUGAAUAUGCUCUGCUCAAAUGGAAGACAGAAAAAUCCUGCUGUCAGAGUGGAGCGAAAACUAUGAAAACGAAGCUCUGAUAAUACUACCACUAGAGUUAAGCUGAGCUUGAAAGAAAGGAAGAAAGGAAG
Lagopus leucura (white-tailed ptarmigan) is the source of this 201-nucleotide long non-coding RNA. RefSeq lists it as uncharacterized. The record is from RefSeq and is a predicted model, not a curated record. The transcript has 3 exons. Lineage: Eukaryota; Metazoa; Chordata; Aves; Galliformes; Phasianidae.